Long non-coding RNA from Scatophagus argus, 387 nucleotides. RefSeq lists it as uncharacterized. Lineage: Eukaryota; Metazoa; Chordata; Actinopteri; Scatophagidae. The transcript is spliced from 3 exons. The record is from RefSeq and is a predicted model, not a curated record.
GAUGGUGUCUUGGAGCUUAACAUUGAAGCCCUUAAGAGUUUCUUUCUUCCCGUUCACUUCUUGUUUGAGCUCAGCUGGGACGCAGGAUACCACAGAGAGAUGAGGUGAGAGGCCACCUGAGCGUUUCCCCAUGAGCCCAUAGAAACGAAGGGCUUUAGAUCUUUUCAUCAGACUGACCAUCGGGACACUCCAUGGAGAGCCUGCCAAGCUGAGCAUCUACAUUUGGGUUUGGCUGUUCCACUCUCCCGACAGCUCAGCCUGGGCCAAACCACAGGAAAAGGAAGCGAAAGGUCCUCUCUGAAGAGCUUAUAAAAUAUUGUCCCAAGCAAAAAUGGUCGACAUGAAUGGCAACAUUCAGGCCUGCCACCACAAAUAAAAGACCUUUGA